RNAcentral lists this ribosomal RNA (465 nucleotides) under uncultured bacterium. RNAcentral's name for it is "partial 16S ribosomal RNA". It matches the Rfam family "Bacterial small subunit ribosomal RNA", at positions 338 to 795 of the family's 1533-position model. The record is from RNAcentral.
CCUACGGGAGGCAGCAGUAGGGAAUCUUCCACAAUGGGCGAAAGCCUGAAGGAGCAACGCCGCGUGGGUGAAGAAGGUCUUCGGAUCGUAAAACCCUGUUGUUAGAGAAGAAAGUGCGUGAGAGUAACUGUUCACGUUUCGACGGUAUCUAACCAGAAAGCCACGGCUAACUACGUGCCAGCAGCUGCGGCAAUACGUAGGUGGCAAGCGUUAUCCGGAUUGAUUGGGCGUAAAGGGAACGCAGGCGGUCUUUUAAGUCUGAUGUGAAAGCCUUCGGCUUAACCGGAGUAGUGCAUUGGAAACUGGGAGACUUGAGUGCAGAAGAGGAGGGUGGAAUGCCAUGUGUAGCGGUGAAAUGCGUAGAUAUAUGGAAGAACACCAGUGGCGAAGGCGGCUCUCUGGUCUGUAACUGACGCUGAGGUUCGAAAGCGUGGGUAGCAAACAGGAUUAGAUACCCUAGUAGUC